Molecule: long non-coding RNA, 848 nt
Filed under: Elaeis guineensis (African oil palm)
Lineage: Eukaryota; Viridiplantae; Streptophyta; Magnoliopsida; Arecales; Arecaceae
Description: long non-coding RNA (EGUI_LNC025147)
Source: RNAcentral
UCUGUGGCUUAAUUGCAGUAGUUUUUGUACUUCUGAUUCGAAGCCGCUGCUGUAAUAAUAAUUUAAUCAAAGCGAAUACUUUCAUUGUGCAGAGAUUUAAGAGCCAUUCUUAUUCAACAUGAAAAUAUUACUGUAAUAAUAAUUUAGUCUUUUAGGAUAUAUGCUAGCUAGUGUCGGAUAAAAUUAUAUACGCUGAGCCCCUCCAUCAAAGCUCUAAAUAGAUUCAUAUUUUAUAAUUAUGUGCCUAGACCCGAACCAAUCCGGAUCCGAACCGACUUAAACCCGUACUUCAUAGAUCGGGAUUAUAUUAUACAGGAAUCCGAUCAGAUCCAAAUGAUCUAUUGGGUUAAAAAAUUUGAUCAUUAAUCCAAUAUGAUCCGAUCAGAUCUUCUAUUGAAUUGGAUUUGGAUCAAAAAUUCAGAUUUGAUUAAGAAAUCGAUCAGAUCGAGAUCACUCAUGAUCCGAUCCAAUCUGACCUAUUUGCACUCCUAUCUCCAACUUUUCCAUCUUCAACUCUAACAUAUUCAGCAAGCUACUUGAGUCAAGAUUUUGCCAUCAACCUAUGAAUCGAAUGGUAAAAAUUUGUCAACCCUUUUUUUUUAGCAAGAAUGUUUGAUUUUUAAUAUUUCACCUUUCUUUCCACUAAAAAUAAACAUAUUUUUGUUUAAGAAUGAUUUAUCAGCAUAAAGCUCUCUCAAGCUGAUUAAUCCAUCAGCACCAUUGCAAUCACUAUGGGAAGCCAAUUUGUUCACUGCUGUCGAUCAUCCAAUAAGUUGGAGUUUUAACUCCUCAAAGAAACCCUUGCACUCUCUCGCAUUACCAGAUUGUCCCUCUUCAAUAAAUACUUG